GGGCCCGCACAAGCGGUGGAGCAUGUGGUUUAAUUCGAUGCAACGCGAAGAACCUUACCAGGUCUUGACAUCCAAAGAAUCCUGAUGAAAGUCAGGAGUGCCUUAGGGAGCUUUGAGACAGGUGGUGCAUGGUUGUCGUCAGCUCGUGUCGUGAGAUGUUGGGUUAAGUCCCGCAACGAGCGCAACCCUUGCUAUUAGUUGCUAACAUUAAGAUGAGCACUCUAAUGGGACUGCCGGUGACAAGCCGGAGGAAGGUGGGGAUGACGUCAAAUCAUCAUGCCCUUUAUGAUCUGGGCUACACACGUGCUACAAUGGAUGGUACAGAGAGCUGCGAUACAGUGAUGUGGAGCGAAUCUCAAAAAGCCAUUCUCAGUUCGGAUUGCAGGCUGCAACUCGCCUGCAUGAAGUCGGAAUCGCUAGUAAUCGCGAAUCAGCAUGUCGCGGUGAAUGCGUUCCCGGGCCUU
This 464-nucleotide ribosomal RNA is filed under the name uncultured bacterium. Its description in RNAcentral is "bacterial SSU rRNA". It matches the Rfam family "Bacterial small subunit ribosomal RNA", at positions 917 to 1382 of the family's 1533-position model. The record is from RNAcentral.